Maylandia zebra (zebra mbuna) is the source of this 655-nucleotide long non-coding RNA. RefSeq lists it as uncharacterized. NCBI's taxonomy places the organism in Eukaryota, Metazoa, Chordata, Actinopteri, Cichliformes, Cichlidae. The record is from RefSeq and is a predicted model, not a curated record.
CACAGAGUGAAAGAGAUCUUUGGUUUUGCCUUUGCUGACUGCUGAUCUGAUCGUCUCCAGUCUGGUGACCUGCUGCAGAAAACCCUCUCCCUCUAUCAUUAACAAGCCAUUAACAAGCAAAUUCAGUCUGUCCUAUCACUCUCCCUCUCCCUGCUCCAUCUUUUUUGACAAGGGAUUCUAUCUUCUAUCAUUUCUCCGCCAUGAACUCUAUCUAAUUUUGACAAGCAUAAGCCCUAGUUUGACAAGAAACCAAGUUUGACAACAAACCAAGGUUGACAACAAACCAAGUUUUUGGAAAUUGAAGUUACCGCAACUUCGACGAUCUGUUUUCAGAAAUCUGAGAGAUCUCUGCUCUCACUGCUCCUUCUUUCCUGUCGUUAAACUCUCUCAUAUCCACUCAUUUUACUGGAAAUUACAAGUAAGAAGUUGAAUAUACAGUACAGUAGAAGUCACUGUAGAAACUACUUACACAGCCCUACAUUUGUCAUUUUAAUUUUGCAUUACACUUUGGAAUAAACAUUGAUUGGCUGUUUGGCUUACAGGUGCAAUUGCUUUGAUAAAUUAUAUAAAAUAUACACCUCUUAAAGGUUUAUUUGUAAUAAGACAAUCUGGUUAUUUUGUAAUAUAUACAUUCAGACUGCUCUAUUUACAUAAA